AACGAACGCUGGCGGCAGGCUUAACACAUGCAAGUCGAACGCUCCGCAAGGAGAGUGGCAGACGGGUGAGUAACACGUGGGAACGUACCCUUUACUACGGAACAACUCCGGGAAACUGGAGCUAAUACCGUAUGUGCCCUUCGGGGGAAAGAUUUAUCGGUAAAGGAUCGGCCCGCGUUGGAUUAGCUAGUUGGUGGGGUAAAGGCCUACCAAGGCGACGAUCCAUAGCUGGUCUGAGAGGAUGAUCAGCCACAUUGGGACUGAGACACGGCCCAAACUCCUACGGGAGGCAGCAGUGGGGAAUAUUGGAGCAAUGGGCGCAAGCCUGAUCCAGCCAUGC
Molecule: ribosomal RNA, 340 nt
Filed under: uncultured bacterium
Lineage: Bacteria
Description: bacterial SSU rRNA
Rfam family: Bacterial small subunit ribosomal RNA
Source: RNAcentral